Molecule: small RNA, 874 nt
Filed under: Rattus norvegicus (Norway rat)
Lineage: Eukaryota; Metazoa; Chordata; Mammalia; Rodentia; Muridae
Description: uncharacterized LOC108352734
Source: RNAcentral
GCAUGUGUGUGCAUGUUUAAUAGAUGAUCAUGAUUGAGCAUCGAUUGAGAUAUGAGUGCUUAGCUAUAGAUGAGUCUUCUCCCAUCAAAGGCUCUGGGAACAUUCUGGAAGAGGGAGAAUAAAGAAUGUCACAACCAGCAGAGGAGGAGAGAACUGUGAAAUGCUAACUUCUGAAGGGAUGACUGUCACACACAGCAGCUGUUGUUGCUGCACAAGAUCUGGACAGAAUUUGGAAAUUUGUAUCAUGAGAACAUCAUUUAUAAGACUAAUGAAUUCAAUGAAAGUGUUGCCAUGAGUAUUUGUACCCAUUGGUCCACCUCACCAAUGAAUUCCAAGGUCUGACUGAGUUUGUCUUUGUGACUUGGUGUACAGCUCACCACCUCUCUUUGGCACCAUGGCAAGGGAAGAACUGAAUUGUCUUUUCUUGGGCCACGGGAGACAGCAAGGCAUGGACAUUCGUGUUAUGACAACCCUAGGGAACUGUAAUAAUCCAGAUGACCAGAGGCAUCCCCCACACCGCUGCGACCAUUUCAGCAUGGCAGGAAGGCAUGGGACAGCCACAAUAAUGAUCCUUGCAGGUAGAAGCUCGGGGAACAUGAGACUGUAGACGAAAUAAAGGCGCUGCGUUUUCUUGGGUAAAAUGUCUCGUGGAACUUUCACACUACGCUGGCAUUUCCAGGAAAUGUAGAAACGAUCUGUACAAACAACUUCUCAGUCCAUCCCAGGGAUUCAAGAUGGGCAGCCUGUGCCAGAAUCCUUUGGUCUUAAGUCUACAUGUGCAGACCGACGAGAUCAAAUGCGGUUUCUUUAAAAAUGCAAUCGAAAAAGAAAAAGGAGCAAUUUCAUUCAGCAAGGAAAUUGUUUUAUUGUUCAA